Molecule: ribosomal RNA, 600 nt
Filed under: Shigella sp.
Lineage: Bacteria; Pseudomonadati; Pseudomonadota; Gammaproteobacteria; Enterobacterales; Enterobacteriaceae
Description: bacterial SSU rRNA
Source: RNAcentral
GGCGUGGCUUCCGGAGCUAACGCGUUAAGUCGACCGCCUGGGGAGUACGGCCGCAAGGUUAAAACUCAAAUGAAUUGACGGGGGCCCGCACAAGCGGUGGAGCAUGUGGUUUAAUUCGAUGCAACGMGAAGAAMCUUACCUGGUCUUGACAUCCACAGAAGUUUUCAGAGAUGARWAKGUGCCUUCGGGAACCGUGAGACAGGUGCUGCAUGGCUGUCGUCAGCUCGUGUUGUGAAAUGUUGGGUUAAGUCCCGCAACGAGCGCAACCCUUAUCCUUUGUUGCCAGCGGUCCGGCCGGGAACUCAAAGGAGACUGCCAGUGAUAAACUGGAGGAAGGUGGGGAUGACGUCAAGUCAUCAUGGCCCUUACGACCAGGGCUACACACGUGCUACAAUGGCGCAUACAAAGAGAAGCGACCUCGCGAGAGCAAGCGGACCUCAUAAAGUGCGUCGUAGUCCGGAUUGGAGUCUGCAACUCGACUCCAUGAAGUCGGAAUCGCUAGUAAUCGUGGAUCAGAAUGCCACGGUGAAUACGUUCCCGGGCCUUGUACACACCGCCCGUCACACCAUGGGAGUGGGUUGCAAAAGAAGUAGGUAGCUU